ACGGGGCUUAAUGUCUUGUAAUUGGAAUGAUGGGAAUUUAAACCUCUUCCAGAGUAUCAAUUGGAGGGCAAGUCUGGUGCCAGCAGCCGCGGUAAUUCCAGCUCCAAUAGCGUAUAUUAAAAUUGUUGCAGUUAAAAAGCUCGUAGUUGAAUUUCUGCUGCAUUGCAUUUGCUCCUUGACGAGUGUCUGUAUUGCGGCUUAUUUCGGAUUAUGCUUGCAUUUUCCGGAUGUUUACUUUGAGAAAAUUAGAGUGCUCA
RNAcentral lists this ribosomal RNA (257 nucleotides) under uncultured Theileria sp. RNAcentral's name for it is "partial 18S ribosomal RNA". It matches the Rfam family "Eukaryotic small subunit ribosomal RNA", at positions 485 to 777 of the family's 1831-position model. Lineage: Eukaryota; Apicomplexa; Aconoidasida; Piroplasmida; Theileriidae. The record is from RNAcentral.